This 506-nucleotide ribosomal RNA is filed under the name uncultured bacterium. RNAcentral describes it as "partial 16S ribosomal RNA". It matches the Rfam family "Bacterial small subunit ribosomal RNA", at positions 28 to 523 of the family's 1533-position model. The record is from RNAcentral.
GAUGAACGCUAGCGGCAGGCCUAACACAUGCAAGUCGAGGGGUAACUAGCGUUAUAGCAAUCUUCCUUUGGCUAGACCGUCGCACGGGUGCGUAUCACGUAUGCAACCUACCUUAUACUGGUGCAUAACUUCGAGACCUCGGCGCUAAUACCCCAUAACACUGCGGAGAGGCAUCUCUUUGCAGUUAAAGCUCCGGCGGUAUAAGAUGGGCAUGCGUCCAAUUAGCUAGUUGGUGAGGUGACGGCUCACCAAGGCUACGAUUGGUAGGGGUUCUGAGAGGAUGAUCCCCCACACUGGUACUGAGACACGGACCAGACUCCUACGGGAGGCAGCAGUGAGGAAUAUUGCGCAAUGGACGAAAGUCUGACGCAGCCAUGCCGCGUGCAGGAUGACGGCCCUAUGGGUUGUAAACUGCUUUUGUACGGGAAUAAACCCUUCUACGUGUAGGAGGCUGAAGGUACCGUAAGAAUAAGCACCGGCUAACUCCGUGCCAGCCGCCGCCGUAA